This 437-nucleotide ribosomal RNA is filed under the name uncultured bacterium. RNAcentral describes it as "bacterial SSU rRNA". It matches the Rfam family "Bacterial small subunit ribosomal RNA", at positions 958 to 1392 of the family's 1533-position model. The record is from RNAcentral.
AACGCGAAGAACCUUACCUGGGCUUGACAUGCAUGUGACCGCGGCAGAAAUGUCGUUUUUCCGCAAGGAACACUUGCACAGGUGCUGCAUGGCUGUCGUCAGCUCGUGCCGUGAGGUGUUGGGUUAAGUCCCGCAACGAGCGCAACCCUUGUCGUUAGUUGCCAGCACGUAAUGGUGGGCACUCUAACGAGACUGCCUGGGUUAACCAGGAGGAAGGUGAGGAUGACGUCAAGUCCGCAUGGCCUUUAUGCCCAGGGCCACACACGUGCUACAAUGGCCGGUACAGAGGGCAGCAAUACCGCGAGGUGGAGCAAAUCCCAAAAGCCGGCCCCAGUUCAGAUAGGAGUCUGCAACUCGACUCCUUGAAGCCGGAAUUGCUAGUAAUGGCGAGUCAGCUACAUCGCCGUGAAUACGUUCNCCGGGUCUUGUACACACCG